RNAcentral lists this ribosomal RNA (426 nucleotides) under uncultured Acidimicrobiales bacterium. RNAcentral describes it as "bacterial SSU rRNA". It matches the Rfam family "Bacterial small subunit ribosomal RNA", at positions 354 to 796 of the family's 1533-position model. The record is from RNAcentral. Lineage: Bacteria; Bacillati; Actinomycetota; Acidimicrobiia; Acidimicrobiales.
GUGGGGAAUCUUGCGCAAUGGGCGAAAGCCUGACGCAGCAACGCCGCGUGCGGGAAGAAGGCUCUCGGGUUGUAAACCGCUUUCAGCAGGAACGAAAAUGACGGUACUUGCAGAAGAAGGUGCGGCCAACUACGUGCCAGCAGCCGCGGUGACACGUAGGCACCAAGCGUUGUCCGGAUUUAUUGGGCGUAAAGAGCUCGUAGGCGGUUCGGUAAGUCGGGUGUGAAAACUUUGGGCUUAACCCAAAGCCUGCAUCCGAUACUGCUGUGACUAGAGUUCGGUAGGGGAGUGGGGAAUUCCUAGUGUAGCGGUGAAAUGCGCAGAUAUUAGGAGGAACACCGGUGGCGAAGGCGCCACUCUGGGCCGAAACUGACGCUGAGGAGCGAAAGCGUGGGUAGCAAACAGGAUUAGAUACCCGGGUAGUCC